Molecule: non-coding RNA, 180 nt
Organism: Caenorhabditis elegans
Lineage: Eukaryota; Metazoa; Nematoda; Chromadorea; Rhabditida; Rhabditidae
Source: Ensembl
GAGAAUUUGCUGUUAUGCGCGGCCGUGUAGAACGAGAGAGGGUCAGAAGAGCCAAGAUGAAGCAGAGAGCAGAGACGACACCGGCGACCCGAGAGCAGCAAUUCGUCGGCGAUAUGCCUGGCUGAGCCAACGAGUCUCCGGCUGCCAAUCUCGCAACACUAAGAGCUCCGCCUUUCUUCU